ACUCAAAGGAAUAGACGGGGGCCCGCACAAGCAGCGGAGCGUGUGGUUUAAUUCGAUGCUACGCGAAGAACCUCACCCAGGCUUGAAAUGCAUGUGGUAGGAAAGGGAAACCGGCCCGACCCUUCGGGGAGCAUGCACAGGUGUUGCACGGCCGUCGUCAGCUCGUGCCGUGAGGUGUUGGGUUAAGUCCCGCAACGAGCGCAACCCCUGUCGCCAGUUGUAUUUUUCUGGCGAGACUGCCGAGAAAACCUCGGAGGAAGGAGGGGACGAUGUCAGGUCAGCGUGGCCCUUACGCCUGGGGCUACACACACGCUACAAUGGGUGGUACAAAGGGUCGCCAAGCCGCGAGGCGGAGCUAAUCCCAUCAAAACCAUCCUCAGUUCGGAUUGCAGGCUGAAACUCGCCUGCAUGAAGCCGGAGUUGCUAGUAACCGCAGGUCAGCAUUACUGCGGUGAAUACGUUCCCGGGCCUUGUACACACCGCCCGU
This 487-nucleotide ribosomal RNA is filed under the name uncultured bacterium. RNAcentral describes it as "partial 16S ribosomal RNA". It matches the Rfam family "Bacterial small subunit ribosomal RNA", at positions 899 to 1397 of the family's 1533-position model. The record is from RNAcentral.